This is a long non-coding RNA of Rhagoletis pomonella (apple maggot), 473 nucleotides long. RefSeq lists it as uncharacterized. Lineage: Eukaryota; Metazoa; Arthropoda; Insecta; Diptera; Tephritidae. The record is from RefSeq and is a predicted model, not a curated record. The transcript has 3 exons.
AUCGGAACUUGGUGGCAUUUGGUUGUGGAGUGCGCGUUAAUACUACUAACUACUUAACGUAUUUUCGUUGGCUACAAAACGAGCACGAGUGUGUUUAUAAGCACAAUCAAGUACUAACUCUCGAACCGACGACGGUGUAUUACAAGUGGAUGGAUGCGCGCGCGAUUUCUCUCUCAAUUUUGCCUGAGUGCAGCAUUAUUUACGAUUUUAAUUCGCAUACAGCAGCCGUAAUUAAAUUAACAGCAGCAGUAAACUGAACAAGUGCCCCUGAACGCAUAUGAAUGGAUUGCGCAAAAAACGAAAAAUGUUUGUCAAAAGUUGAAACGUCAAUAAAUUUCUCGAAGCAGUGGAAAUUCGCUAUUAUUCAACAAGUGCUAAUCAAAUUUGCUACAAAUAGGAUUCAACAGAAUUCGCAUUUGGAAGUUGGUGGCGAACAUAUGUAUUAAAACGAAAAUGCUGUGCAUAACUAAAUA